UAGGGGGUGCUGAGAGGUUGGGGGAGCGCUGUGUCAUCCUCUCGCCUUUCAGGUGGGUCGGGAUGCUGAGGUAUGUCUUCUCAAACUGGAAGAUUUAUUUUGGUUCCUGGAUCUCUGUGGAAGGAGGUUCGAAUGGAGCUGACAACAGAGUCAACCUCUUCAAGGCAGGAGCAUUCUGGCAUUUCGCACAGAGGAAACAGAACAAAAUUUGCCCUCGGGCCCCGUUGAUGAUUCCUGGACCAUGGGGUCAGUAUCCAGACAGAGGUGGCAUCUCUACGGUUCUGUUAUCUCGGUCUCCGCUAUAAUCACCAGGCCCCACAAUAGCUGCUGGGCUGAGGCUCAUUUAAAGAAGCUUCCUGCGGAAUAAUGAGGGAAAGGCAGGUCUGUAAAUUCCCGCCUGCACCCGCCCAGGGUUCCAGAAGCAUGAGCAGCUCUAGGCUCCAGCUGGCUGUCCCCCUUGCCCUUUCUCUUGAAUUAGCAGGCACUUCCUCUAAGGCUACUGGCCUAGGAGGGUUUCUUGCAAACCCACUGGUCUGAGGGAACACAGAGAAGACAUCCUCUCAAGGCUGCCCAGAUGACAGCAUGUCUCUAAAAAUAUGCCUCCUGGUUUUUGAGUGAUUGAAGGCCCCACAGCCUUUACCACUGGAGUCAUUUGGAGCUCGUGGUGAAAGGACUGGCUUCCUCCUUGCCACCAUUGAAGCAGAAGGUGCGAGAAAGUACCCAAAGCUUGGGGCCGUGUCUCUAAUAGGCAUGGGUCAGUGGGAAGUUCAGCCUCACAGAAGGCCCCUUGCUGGUGCUGUUCAGGAGGACGUUGAAGUAGCAAAGCUGAGAUUCGCCCAUCAUGCUGAUCUGGUCUAUACCUAAACAGGAUAAGUGCAAGACAUUUAUUUACAGUUUGUCUAUGCUUGGGGCAGAGAAAAGACAGAGCUGAUCCCUGAAACCUGACUUUUGAUGUCGGUAAGUAACAAAAUGAGAGGAUCCAGGAACAAUUCCUGUUUCCCACAUACUUUCUUUCCAUCCAAAUCUGGAGAUUUUAAUGUGUUUGAUUUUAAUGAGGAGACUGUUACGUCCAAGGUGUGGACAGGAACCCACCCUUUUUUUCUUGCCAAACACGCAAGGAAAGGAAUCUUAAUUACAGAGAGGUCUACACUCUUGCUACUUGAAACUGGGUCCCUGGACCUGUAGCAUCAGCAUCCCUGGGAACUGGUUACACAGACAGAAAUCUGAAGCCCCACCCCAAACAUACAGAAUCUGCGUUUUAAACAAGAUGCCUGGGUGAUUCCCAUACACAUUCAGGUUUGAAAAUCCCUGAUCUACAAGAUAGGAAAACUGCCUAGUUGGUAAAACUUAGGGCACUGUGUUGCAAUCUGUGUUUUGUUUUGCAUGACUGAUUGAUGAGUAAUCAGUUUGUCAGCCUCUAUGAUUACUAAUUUAUGUCCAACAGCACACUCAGUCAGGGGCUAAGCCCACUCUACUCUACUGAUCAUUUCUAAGAAAUCUCCACAGAGCCCACAGUACUGUGAUCCCAUUUAAAUAAAGGACUUGCUCUCUGACUGAUGAGUAAAAGAUUCAUUCUUUUUUUUUUUUUUCCUAUUGUGGCCAAAUGUACAUAACAUACAUUUACUAUUUUAACCAUUUUUAAAUGUACAGUUCAGUGGAUGAAAGACAUUCCCACAGUUUUGCAACCAUCACUACAUUCCACCUCUAGAGUGUUUUCAUCUUCCCAAACAGAAACUCUACACAUGAAACAAUAACUCCCCAUUACCCGCUCCCUCCAGCCCGUCAACCUCAUUCUACUUUUUGUCUCUAUGAACUUGACUACUCCACAUACUUCAUCGAAGUGGAAUCAUACUAGACUCGCUUUUCUGUGAUUGUCUUAUUUCACUUAGCAUAACGUUGUCAAGUUUCAUCCAUGUUGUGGCAUAUGUCAAAAUUUUCUUCCUUUUGAAGCUGGAUAUUUUGCUGUAUGUAUCUAGCAUAUUUUGUUUACCAUUCAUCCAUCAAUGGACCUUGAGUGGCUCCCACCUUUUGGCUACUAUGAGUAAUGCUGUUACAAACACGCGUGUAGAAAGCUUCAUUUGUAGGCAGAGGCCGAGGCAGGCAGAUCUCUUGAGGUCAGGAGUUCAAGACCAGCCUGGCCAACAUGGUGAAACCCUGUCUCUACUAAAAAUUUAAAAAAAAAAGCCAGAUGUGGUGGCAGGGGCCUGUAAUCCCAGCUACUCAGGAGGCUGAGGUGGGAGAAUCACUUGAACCCUGGAGGCAGAGGUUACAGUGAGCUGAGAUCAUGCCACGGCAUUCUAGCCUGGGCAACAAGAGCAAAACUCCGUCUCAAAAAAAAAAAAGUCUUCAUUUAUGCUGGGCAUGCAGGUCCCCUCUUCCAGUUUACCAGCGUUAUUUUCUAGAGAGAUGCCACAACAAACAUAAAAUUCACAGUUAAUGGAUGCUCUCAAUGGAUUCUCUCUCUCUCUCUGUGUGUGUGUGUGUGUGUGUGUGUGUGUGUAUAACUUUUUUUUGUAAGUAGAGGCAGGGUUUUACCAUGUUGCCCAGGCUGGUCUCAAACUCCUGAGCUCAAGUGGUCUGCCCACCUCGGCCUCCCAAAGUGCUGGGAUUACAGGCAUGAGCCUCAAUGGAUUUUCUUUACUAUAUCAAGUCUCUAGUUGACUCCUCAUUAAGUAAAGAGAAUUUGCUGUUGUUGGGUGCAAAAUGUUGCAUUUAGUCUCCGUCCGGGAGUUGUGUCCUCCUGAAUAUAAACUCAGAGUCAGAGCCAAGAGUUUAAUUUGUGCAACACAAGUAUUGAUUGGGUGACACCAUUGUCUUCCCCAAUGCUAUUCCUAUCAACCCAAAUGAUCUGUGUGAAUAGAGAAAUCAUUUUUUUCCGGGUGUGUUGGUGACAGGCUGCUUGCUGAUAGGCUCUGACAGAUGAGCACUUGGCUGCUGUUGGGCAGUCAACACUGUCCUUGCUAGGGCGUUGCUGGGCAAAGAACCUGCGGCCCUGGAGCUGAUAAGCAUACCCCACCUCAGCAGUCCCAGGGCUCCAUGCUGAGUUCAGCAACCCACAGCAGAGCUCAGACAAGGGAAGAGGCUCUCAGCUUCUGGCAGCUUCUGGGUGAACUAUUCUUUUUUUUUUUGAGACAGGGUCUUGCUCUGUCACCCAUGUAGCAUGAUCUGGCUCACUGCAUCACUGCAGCCUCAGUCUUCCGGCUCAAGCGAUCUUCCUGCCUCAGCCUACUGAGUAGCUAGGACCACAGGUGUGUGCCACCAUGCCUGGCUGAUUAACAAAACUUUUUGCCAUAUGUAUCUAGCAUAUUUUGUUUCUCAUGCAUCCAUCAAUGGACACUUGAGUGGCUCCCACCUUUCAGUAGGACAUAGAGACAGGGUCUCCCUAUGUUGCUCAGGUUGGUGUUGAACUAGGCUUAUGCAAUCCUCUCACUUCAGCCUCCAAAGGUGCUGGGAUUACAGGCAUGAGCCACUGUGACUAGCCUGGGUGAACUCUUCUAAAGAAUUAUAUAGGCCAGGCGUGGAGGCUGACGCCUUAAUCCCAGCACUUUGGGAAGCUGAGGCAGGGAGAUCACAAGUUCAGGAGUUUGAAACCAGCUUGGUCAAUAUGGUGAAACCCCAUCUCUACUAAAAAUACAAAAAAAUUAACCGGGUGUGGUAGCGGGUGCCUGUAGUCUCAGCUACUCAGGAGGCUGAGGCAGGAGAAUCACUUGAACCCAGGAGGCAGAGGUUGCAGUGAGCCAAGACUGCACCAUUGCACUCCAGCCUGGGCGACAGAGCAAGACUCCGUGUAAAAAAAAAAAAAAAAAAAAAAUUAUAUAAAGGGUAUUAUCUGGAAUCUCCUUUCCUCGUGUUGCUUCAGGAAGCUAUGGGGAUUGUGUGCUUUUUCCCUCAGGCACCCAGAGGCCGCUCUGACACUCUCCACUUCAUCCCACAUUUUACCUCUGGGACAACUCUUUAGGUUGCCAGAUGUGUGCAAAGAUGAGAAGGAUACAAUCACACCAGCUCAUUUGGGAAAUACACGCUGAGACUCUGAUUUCAUCUUCUCUGUGGAAUGACUCUUGCUUUGCAAACUAAAGCUGGGUGUCAAGGCAGGAACUACUGCAGGUUCCCUAUUUCCAUGUUAACUUUGGCCCUCAAGGAUGAUUAACUUUAGAAACUGAAAACGCAUUUGGGCUAAUCAUUUAGGAGAUCUGACUAAGAGCUUUACAGAGAAGAUUUGCACCACUGUUAAGAAAGGCGCUAGCAAUUCAGGAGAAUGCACAUGUAAGGGAUUUCCUUUUACCGGAUUAGAAAGAAGAGCCAGAAAACACAGCUGAAGGCACACAAGAGAGGAAGAGGUGAAGACCUGCUGGUAGGAAUCCAAAGAAAAGAGUUUGUAUGUUGGUGAACACAUCUGAAGAAGUCCCACAAGAACCACUGUCUAAAAUGUAACGUGACAAAAUAACGUGUGUGCAGCCACAUUAACAGGUGACGUGUGUGUAGCUGCAAGGAUUUAAUGAAAGUCUGGAAACAUGCAUACAAGAAUUAAGUAUUUGUAGGUCGCUGUAUAGAAUUUACAAUUUGCCUCCUCCCAGAUUUGUCCUGCUCUGUCCACUUGGAAUGCCCUUCUCUGUCCUUUCCUUCCCCAUUAAUACAUGCUUAUCACCUUAUUCCAGAGCCAAGUGAAGUCUCACCACCUGUAGGAAGACUGCCCAGACUGACCCCUCUUAACUGUAAACAUUCUAUUUUAUUUUAUUUCUUUUUUGAGACAGAGUUUCACUCUGUCGCCCAGGCUGGAGUGCACUGGCACAAUCUGGGCUCAUUCAGCCUCCAGAGGCAACUUCCGCCUCCCGGGUUUAAGUGAUUCUCCUGCCUCAGCCUCCUGAGUAGCUGGGAUUGCAGGUGCAGGCCACCACGCCUGGCUAAUUUUUUUUUUUUUUUUUUGAGACGGAGUCUUGCACUGUUGCUCAGGCUGUAGUGCAGUGGCAUGAUCUCGGCUCACUGCAAUCUCCACCUCCUGGGUUCAAGCAAUUCUCCUGCCUCAGCCUCCCAAGUAGCUGGGGCUACAGGCAUGCACCACCACACCCAGCUAAUUUUUUUUUUUUUUUAAUUUUUAGUAGAGAUGGGGUUUCACCAUGUUGGCCAGGAUGGUCUCAAUCUCCUGACCUCAUGAUCCGCCCACCUCAGCCUCCCAAAGUGCUGGGAUUACAGGCAUGAGCCACUGCACCCAGCCAUUUUUGUAUUUUUUUUUAGUGGAGACGGGGUUUCACCAUGUUGGUCAGGCUGGUCUUGAACUCCUGACUUCGUGAUCUACCUGCCUUGGCCUCCUAAAGUGCUGGGAUUCAGGUAUGAGUCACCGUGUCCAGCCUCACCUGCCUAAUUUUUGUAUUUUCAGUAGAGAUGAGGUUUUGCCAUGUUAAUCAAGCUGGUCUCAAACUCCUGGCCUCAAGUGAUCUGCCCUCCUCAGCCUCCCAAAGUGCUGCAAUUACAGGCAUGAGUCACCGCACCCAGCCUCUUAACUGUAAUCACUCUUUUGCACCCUCUCCAAAUGUAUGUGUCCUGCAUGUCCUGGUGGAGCCCACAUGGCAUUAAUGACAUAUUUCUUGAUCGUUUUCAUGCCAAUUUCCAUAUGUGUGGUUUGUGUUCCUAAACCUGUCUACAAGCUCCUUGAGGUGGGGACUGUUUGGGAGGAGAAAGGGUAUGGUUUGUUUUUAUGUUUAUUUUAUUUUAUUUUUAAAGAUGGGGUUUCACCAUGUUGGUCAGGCUGGUCUUGAACUCCUGACCUCAGGUGAUCCGCCCACCUUGGCCUCCAGAUUGCUUGGAUUACAGGUGUGAGCCACCACGCCAGGCCUAAGGGUAUGGUUUGUUUGCUUGCUGUUGUUUUUGGCCUUUUUUCUUAGAUAUCCUAAAGCAGUGGUUCUUAUACUUCCACAAGCACAUUAAAUGCUUAUUACUGUUACAUGUUAUAUGCUUGUUAAUGUUACAUAUUAAAUGCUUAUUAAUGUUAAAAGCUUCUAACUAGAAUGCAGAACUGAUUUAGUAGGAAUGGGUUGGGCCUGGGAUUCCGCAUUCCUUCUAUUUCCUUCCCUUCCUCUUCCCUCCCCUCUUCCUUCUUCUCUCUCUCUCCCCGCCGCCCCUCUCUUUCUUUCACUCUGUCGCCAAGGCUGGAGUGUGGUGAUGCAAUCUCGGCUCACUACAACCUCUGCCUACUGCGUUCAAGUGAUUCUCCUGCCUCAGCCUCCUGAGUAGCUGGGAUUACAGGCACACGCCACCAGACCAGCUAAUUUUUUUGUAUUUUUACUACAGAUGAGGGUUUCACUACGUUGGUCAGGCUGGUCUCAAACUCCUGACUUCGUGAUCCACCCAUCUCCACCUCCCAAAGUUCUGGUAAUAGAGGUGUGAGUCACUGCACCCGGCCCCUUCUCUUUCUUUGUUUCUCCCUUUCCCUUCCUUCCUUUCUUUUCUUUUUUUUAAAAUCGAGUUUUGCUCUGUUGCCCAGGCUGGAGUGCAGUGGUGCAGUCAUAGCUCACCGCAACCUCAAACUCCUGGGCUCAAGCAACCCUCCCACCUCAGCUUCUCAAAGGAGCUGAGACUGCAGGCGUAUAUCACCGUGCCUGGCUAGAUUCUACAUUGCCAACCUAAGUCUUGCUGUUGGUUGGAGGAACACACUUUUGAGUAGCAAGGCUCUGUAACUCCCAGAAUAGUGCUUCAACAUAAACAAGUAAGACUUUUGGUAGUAUUUCCUAGGACCAUUCCUUCUCAGGUCCAAGCCCUUUAAGCAAAUUCUACCUUGCAAUAAGACUUUUCCUCUCUGAUCACUAGACUGCCCCCUAAAUUAAUUGAAGCCUGAGGACAUGCUUUUGUUAUACUGCAGUUGUUUGAAUUUGUGUUUAAAUCUAGGAAUACAAAUAGUUUCACUAAUGUAAUUUGAGAAGAUUGAUGAGUUAUUUUGGGUAGGCAUGGCCUAGCCCUGUAAUGCUAGGAUACUUUUGAUAAGCGCUACAGUUAUACCAGCUGACCCCAUAAAAAGGGAAAACGCUCUAGCCUGCAUAGAAUGCUGACAGCUGUAACACCCCCUUCUGGACUAGGGCCCUUUGCUUUUCCCCCAGGUGGGUUAAGGAGCUGGAAGCAGACACAAAGCUUUUAUUUUCCUGUGCCGGGUAAGUGUCUGUUUCCUGUGGAAAGUCCCACUUCAUCAGAGGCAAAGAAUUCCCUCUUAGUUUCACCCUGAAACUAGGAAAAUUAGUCUUUAUCCAUAUUGAUAGGCUUCAAUAAAUGUUUUUCUAUUUUCUUUUAAAUAGAGACAGGGUCUCGCUAUGUUACCCAGGCUGGUCUCACUUGCCCACCUGGGCUCAAGUGAUCCUCUCACCUCAGCCUCCCAAAGUGUUGGAAUUGUAAGCAAGAUCCUAGCCAAUAAAUGCUUUUUAACUGGGAAGGACGGACCAGAAGGAUAAGCUGGCACUAAUGAAACCAGAAAGACGCUUGGCUGGACUCCUAACAUGACGCCAACAAGAGGAAUGUCAAGGCCAGCUGCCAUGGCUUACGCCUGUAAUCCUAACACCUGGGGAGGCUGAGCUGGGAAGAUCACUUGAGGCCAGGAGUUUGAGACCACUCUGAGCAACAUGGCAAAACCCCUCCCACUGCAUCUCACAAAAAAAUUAACAAAUUAGCCAGGCCUGGUGGUGCACAUCUAUAGUCCCAGCUACUCAGGAGGCUGAGGUGGGAGGACUGCUUGAGCUUGGGAGUUUAAGGCUGCAGUGAGCUAUGACUGCACCACUGCACCCCAGCCUGGGUGACAGAGCGAAACCCGAGGAGAGUCAAGCCUCUCAGGGCCUUGGUUUACUUAUCUGUAAGAUCAAGAUAUUGGGCUGGAAGAUUACUAGCAGCCCUAAAAUGUCAACUAACCAACUUAGCAGGAGAAAGGCAAAGAGACAAGAUUCCACCGCUGGCUACUUGACAGCACAAUGUGACUGGAGCCUCUUGGCUAACUUGUAUUCUCUCAUCUCAGCCCAAAUGCUUGCCCUGAUAUGGUACUAAGUUAACCCUUUCUAGAAAAUGUGGUGCCUCACAUCCGCCUGCCUGACGUAGAAAGACCUGAAAAGACACGCCCUGUGCUGCCACCUAGUGGUUUCUCUUCUAUCAAGGCAGAGUAGAAUCUUGCUUUCUGUUCUCCAUCUACCAAUUAGGAGGGUCUAAUAGGAGAGACUAAAAAGAGUGCCCUUCCAGGUGUCACCGCUUUAAGGGAAUCAGGGACUAUGAUGAAGAUCUACAAGGCCUUCUAAACUUUAUAAUUUCCUCUGUAUUGUUAUUUCUUGUCUGUUUCGCCGCAGCGAAACUCUAAAAACAAAAACGACCAAGAUUGUUUUUAAGGUCAGCAAGGAAGCAGGGAACUGGGGAGAGACAGCACCCUAGGGUUUAAGGUAAACAUCACCAGGAGAUGGAGUGGGUGGAAGGAGCUGAAUAGCGGAAAGGAAAGAGGGUGAAGUCCUCAGACUUGUUUGAAAAAGGAAAGAGGGGGUGGGAGAAUGAAUUGCCUUUUAGCUGGAAUGAAAGUCAUCAUCUUAAAAGCAUUGUCAUGCUUUCCUGUUUUGUCUUCAGAGGCACCAGGCUGUUUUCAAGGCUGGAAAAUGAAGCAAAUGUAUGGGUUUCAGCUACUGUUGCAGUUCAGGGGCCUUUGUAGCAAAUGAUACUCCCUUAGAGUAAGGAUUCGAAUACAAGUCUAUAGAAAGGCCAUGCACAUAUGGUACAUGGAUGGAGGCAGCCAGAGGUGAGGCUGUUGGGAGUGGUGGGGACUGUGGUAAAUAGGAGCGAACUCACUCCAUCUAAGGAAGCAGCAGCAACCAGUCCCUAGUGAUUAUGGGCCUAGCCAAACUGUGUCCCCACAUUGGUAGAUCUUUCAAAUUUUCAGGAGAAUCUGGAAACCUGGAUUAUUAUGUGAAGUCACCUUAUUUUUCAAUGUUGGCAGCUAAUGUUGCUUAAAAACAAAUAGGACUCUGUGAGGGUGGCCAAGAUGAACUUGUUUUAGGUAGCAAACAUCUUCUGCCAACAAACUAUCCAAAAUGUGUUUUAAAAUGUAUAAAUAGGGCUGGGCGUGGUGGCUUACCUGUAAUCCCAGCACUUUGGGAGGUCAAGGCUGGAGGAUUGCUUGAGCCUAGGAGUUCAAGACCAGCCUGGGCAUCAUAGUGAAACCCUGUCUCUACAAAAAAUACAAAAUUAGCCUGGCAUGGUGGUAUGUGCCUAUAGUCCCAGUUACUUGGGAGGCUGAGGUGGGAGGAUUGCUUGAGCCCAGGAGGUGGAGGCUGUAGUGAGUCAAGAUGGUGCCACUGCACUCCAACCUGGAAGACAGAAGGAGACCCUGUCUCAAAAAAUAAAUAAAUGAAAAUAAAUUAUACAUAUAUAACUAUAGUCUACAUUUUAGAGUUAAAAAAUUUUUUUUUGAGAUGGAAUCUCAUUCUGUUGCCCAGGCUAGAGUGUGGUGUCAUGAUCCUGGCUCACAGCAACCUCCACCUCAUGGGUUCAAGUGAUUCUCCUUCCUCAGCCUCUCAAAUAGCUGGAAUUACAGGCACCGCCACCACACCCGGCUAAUAUUUGUAAUUUUUUUUUCUUUUCUUUUUUUGAGAUGGAGUCUCACUCUGUCACCCAGGCUGGAGUGCAGUGGCAUGAUCUCGGCUCACUGCAACAUCUGUGUCCCAGGUUCAAGCGAUUCUCCUGCCUCAGCCUCACAAGUAGCUGGGAUUACAGGUGUGAGCAACCGUGCCCAGCCUAAAUUUUGUAUUUUUAGUAGAGACAGGGUUUCACCAUGUUGCCCAGGCUGGUCUUGAACUCCUGACCUCAUGUGAUCUGCCCACCUUGGCCUCCCAGAGUGCUGAGAUUAUAGGUGUGAGCCACUGCACCCGUUUGUAUUUUAGAGAUUUAUGUCCUCUAAACUCAUCAUGUUUUGUGACAUAUAUAUUAGAUUAUUACAAAGAUCUUUCAAACACCGGAGCUCCCACUUGCCAAAUUUAGGACAAAAUUUGAUGUAUUUUGUACAUCAAAAAAUAAUGGAUUAUAACAUGUUAAAUGAAAUGUAAAAGCUCUAUGAAUUCACAGUGAGUCAGAAGCAUGCCAGCUAAUAAAUGCAGACAAAUGAUAGAAUUUGAGUUUGUAACUGCCAAUGUAAUAAUUGAUUCAGUCUAGCUAUCAUCAAUGGAUGAUAAAAUCACCGAAACAACAUUGGAGAAUAGGAUAAUUACAUGGUUCCAAAGUUGCACCCGGCAGAUCAAUUAAUAAAUUCAGGCUGGGUGUGUUGGCUCACGCCUGUAAUCCCAGCACUUUGGGAGGCUGAGGUGGGCAGAUCACCUGAGGUCAGGAGUUCGAGACCAGCCUGGCCAAAAUGGUGAAAUCCCAUCUCUACUAAAAAGACAAAAGUUAGCAGCUGUGCUGGUGCAUGCUUGUAAUCCCAGCUACUUGGGAGGCUGAGGCAGGAGAAUCGCUUGACCAGGGAGGUGGAGGUUGCAGUGAGCCAAGAUUGUGCCACUGUACAUCAGCACUCCAGCCUGGGCAAUAGAGUGAGACUCCAUCUAAAAAAAAUUAAUAAAUUCAAAGGGAAAAUGUAUCUGGUGGAUACCCUCUUAACCAAGCAAACUUGAUAUCACUAAUAGUCAAACAAUGGAUGGUCUCCUGUUACAAUGCGCUAAGAGAAACACAACCCCCUAUGGAGAAUUCUGCUGGAAUUGUUUUACCUGAAAAUAAACGUAAGGGAACAAUCAAGGAAAUUCAGAAUCUGGAAAACUCUGCAAGAUAACUUACCUGGAUUCUAAAAAGUUCAAUGUCAUGAAAAAUACCAAAAGGUGGGGAUUUUUUGAGACGAAGAGAGACCAGGGAGAUAACCAGAGACCAUAUGUAAACCUUGAGCGGAUUCUGAUGGAAGUGGGAAAGCCUGCUGGAUAAGACAAUUUAAGAUCAUUGGCAAUAGUAUGUUAAAUUGUCUUCUUGAAUUAAUGUUAAUUUUUUUAGUUGGAUAGUAGUGAGUGUUAUUGUGGUUAUUUACUAGAAUGACCUUUUCCUAGAGAUCCAUAAUGAGAUAUUUAGGGGUGAGGUGUCAUGACAGCUGCAUCCUACCUUUAAAAAAGUGUGCUCUAGCCAGGCAAGGUGGCUCAUGCCUAUAAUCCCAGCACUUUGGGAGGCUGAGGCAGGUGAAUCACAAGGUCAGAAGUUCGAGACCAGCCUGGCCAACAUGGUGAAACCCCAUCUCUACUAAAGAAACAAAAAAUUAGCCAGUCAUGAUGGUGCACACCUGUAAUCCCAGCUACCUGGGAGGCUGAGGCAGAAGAACCCAGGAGGCAGAGGUUGCAGUGAGCUGAGAUCACACCACUGCACUCCAGCCUGGGCAACAGGGACUGCACUCCAUCUCAAAAAAGAAAAAAAGGGCUCUGUGUGUGUAUAGCAGAAUAUGUGGUGAAAUGUUAAUGAUUGGUAAAACCAUGUAAAAGGUUUAGGAUGUUUAUUGAACUAUUAUUCCAGCUCACUUGGAAGUUUAAAACUUUUCAAAAAGAGAAACUUCAUACUAUGCCUUGGAAUUUUAUUGUAACUGUUAUUCUAGUAGAUAUUAAAAUGUACUAGCUAGCCAUCCUGACACAGACUCUAGAUGUCACAUAAGCAUUAUUCAGUAAAGAUGAUUUGAGUCUGGCCUACUACAAGCUAGACAUGAUUUUAGGCAAUUAGGAUACUCGAAUGAACAAAAUAGAGAUCUCCGGUCCUAUGAAGCUUAUAUUCCAGUGGGGAGAGACAGACAGACAGACACAAUGAACCUAAUAAGUAAAUUGUGGGAAAAACAGUCAAGUAGGAGUUAGUGGACAAUUUGGGAAAUAUUAAAGUGGAGACUUAGAUAAAUAAAUGAAAGGAGCACAGAGAUUGAUUUAAGGGAUAUUGAGAUUAUGUCCAAAUUUUCUAUUAUUGUAGAAUAUGCUGGUUUGGUUUCACCUAAAGAAUUCUGCACCUUUUAAUCACACAAAGCCAUUUCAGUUGGAUUGCAGGCACACCAAUUCUGAAUCCCAGUUAGGAAUAUACUGAUUUCUCUUUCACUUUCUACUGAAUCCCAACUAGGGUGACCAGGUGUCCUGGUUUGCCCAGGACUAAGGGGUUUCCCAGGACAUGGGACUUUCAGUGUUAAAACUGGGACAGUCCUGGGUGAACUGGGAUGGGUUGGUCACCUUAAAACUGCCAGUUGCCACUUGUGUGACUUUGAGUAAAUUAUUUAGCUUCCAAGAGCCCUAAUUUCCUCAUCUAUAAAAAGGACAUUACACAAAUACAUAUGGUAGGCAGAUCACUUGAGGUCAGAAGUUCGAAGCCAGCCUGGUCAACAUGGUAAAACCUCGUCUCUCCUAAAAAUACAAAGAUUAGCUGGGUGUGGUGGUGGACACCUGUAAUCCCAGCUACUAGGGAGGCUGAGACAGGAGAAUCGCUUGAACCUGGGAGGCAGAGGUUGCAGAGAGCUGAGAUUGCGCCAUUGCACUCCAGCGUGGUGACAGAGCAAAACUCCAUCUCAAAUAAAUGUGACCUCCAAUGUUGGGAGGUCACUGGAGGGCCCUCCUUAGUUGGAGGUGUUUGGGUCAUGGGGGGCAGAUCCUCCAGAAUGGUUUGGUACUGUUUUCGAGGUAAUAAGCAAGUUCUCACUCUAUGAGUUCACUCAAGAUCUGGUGGUUUGGGGGAGCAUGGCACCUUUCCAGUCCUUGCUCAUUCUCUCACUGCAUGAUGUGCCUGCUCCUCCUUCACCCCUGCCAUGCUCAUAAGCUCCCCAAGGCCCUCGCCAGAAGCUGAUGCCAUGCUUCCUGUACAGCGUGCAGAACCUUGAGCCAAAAUAAACCCUUUUUCUUUAUAAAUUACCCAGCUGCAGGUGUUCCUUUAUAGCAAUACAAACUAACAUACCAUAUAAGCUAGCACAUCCACUCCUAGGUAUAUACCUGAAAAAGCAAUAAAAACAUGCUGACACAAAUACUUGAGAUGAAUGUUCAUAGCAGCAUUAUAAUUUUUUAUUUGAGACAGUGUCUUGCUGUAUUGGCCAGGCCAGAGUGCAGUGGUAAAAUCAUGGCUUACUACAGUCCUGACUGACCUUCUGGGUUCAAGCAAUCCUCCCACCUCAGCCUCCCAAGUAGCUGAGAAUAAGGCCCAUGUCACUGAGCCAAGCUAAUUAUUUUUUUUUGAGACAGAGUCUCACUGUGUUGCCCAGGUGGAGUGCAGUGGCACGAUCCUGGCUCACUGCAACCUCCACCUCCCAAAAACAAGCGACUCUCCUGCCUCAGCCUCCGGAGUAGCUGGGACUACAGGUGUGCACCACCACAUGUGGCUAAUUUUUGUAUUUUAAAUAGAGAUGGGGUUUCACCAUGUUGGUCAGGCUGGUCUUGAACCCCUGACCUCAGGUGAUCUGCUCGCCUCAGCCUCCCAAAGUGCCGGGAUUACAGGUGUGAGCCACCGUGCCCAGCCCCAAGCCCAACUAAUCUUUUACUUUUUGUAGAGAUGGUGUCUCACGAUGUUGCCCUGACUGGUCUCAAAUUCCUGGACUCAAGCAAUCCUCCUGUCUCAGCCUCCCAAAGUGCUGGGAUUACAGGCAUGAGCCAUUGUGCCUGGCUUCAGCAUUAUUUUAUUAUUUUUUUUGAUACAUCAGAUGCAUUAUUCUUUUUUUAAAAUUUUUUAAUUUUUUUUUUUUUUAAGACGGGGUUUCACCAUGUUGGUCAGGCUGGUCUUGAACUCCCGACCUCAGGUGAUCCGCCAGCCUUGGCCUCCAAAGUGCUUGGAUUACAGGCAUGAGCCACCACGCCUGGCCUUAGAUGCAUUAUUCUUAAUAGCUAAAAACUGUAAAUAACUCAAACAUUCAUCAGCUGGUGAAUGAAUUCAUAAAAUGCAGCAUAUCCACGCAAUGGAAUAUUAUUUGGCAACAAAAAGAAAUAGAAUACUGGUGGUACAAUAUGGAUGAACCUUAGAAAUAUUAUGCUAAGUGAAAGAAGAUAGUCACAAAAGAAUAUUGUAUCAUUCCAUUUGUAUGAAAUGUCCGGAAUAGGCAAAUCCAUGGAGACAGAAAGUAGGUUAGUGGUUUCCAGGGACUGGGAGAAAUGGAGAAAAUGGGUGUGACUGCUAAUGGGUAUGGGGUUUCUUUUGGGAGUGAGAAAAUGCUCUAAAAUGUAUUGUGGUAUUGGUUGCACAACUCUGUGAAUAUAAGAAAAACAAUUGAAUUGUACACUUUAAAUGAAAGAGUAAUGGUAUGGUAGGCAAAUUAUGUUUCAAUACAUCUGUUAAACAAUAGAGAAAAAAUAUUUUAGAUUAAAAAAAAGAUUAUAAUGUCUGUGUGAGGUCUAAAUGAGUCUUUGCUCUCAAAAUGCCCCCAGGGUCCUCCCCCAAAACAUAUUAAUCGCACCAAAUUAUCAUUGUGUAUGUCUUUGUCUUGUCCACUGAACUGAGACCCCUGGGAUGACAGAAACUUCCUUUUUUUGUUUUUAUUUUUUUAGAUGAAGUUUUGCUCUUGUUGCCCAGGCUGGAGGGCAGUGGCACUAUCUCAGCUUACUGCAGCCUCCGCCUCCUGGGUUCAUGCGCCACCAUGCCCAGCUAAUUUUGUAUUUUUAGUAGAGACGGGGUUUCUCCAAGUUGGUUGGGCUGGUCUGGAAUUCCAGAACUCAGGUGAUCUGCCUGCCUUGUCCUCCUAAAAUGCUGGGAUUUCAGGCAUGAGUCACCUCACCUGGCAGAAACCUUCUUAUUCAUUCAGGGUUAGCCCAGUGUGGUGAUGCAUGCCUAUAGUCCCAGCUACUUAGGAGGCUGAGGUGGGAGGAUCGCUUGAGCCCAGAAGUUAGAGACUGCAGUGAGCUAUGAUCAUGUCACUGGACUCCAGUUUGGGUGACAGAGUGAGACCCAGUCUCUAAAAAUAGUAGUAAUAAUAAAAAUUCAAAAUAGGCCGGGCACUGUGGCCCAUGUCCUUUGGGCAGGCCUCAGAACAGAAGUUCAGUAGGCUUAGAACUCGAAGGAGGAAGGAGGCAAUGAAAUUCUAUGAAAAGAGAAGUCAGCAAAGGGUAAUAUAUUGUGGAUCAAGAAGGGAGGGCCAGUUACUAAAUUCCCCAUGGCAGGAGCGGGCAGCCAACUUCAGCAAUGGCGGUACCUGUUAAACACUUCCGUUAUCCAGAAUAGGCCGGGCACAGUGGCUCAUGCCUGUAAUCCCAGCACUCUGGGAGUGGAUCACUUAAGGUCAGGAGUUUGAGACUGGUCUGGCCAACAUGGUGAAACCCCGUCUCUACCACAAAUACAAAAAUUAGCAGGGCAUGGUGAUAUGCACCUGUAAUCACAGCAGGAGAAUCGACUGAACCCAGGAGAUGGAGGUUGCAGUGAGCCAAAGAUUGUUCCACAGCACUUCAGCCUGGGUAACAGAGUAAGACUCCAUCUCAGAAAAAAAAAGACUGAUCAGGUUUCUGUUCUCAGGGCCUUACAUUAUAGUGAGGGAAACAGAAAAAUAAACAGAUGAUAUAUAGCAAUAAUUGCAUUGUAAAUCUUUCAAGUAGGUUGAUAGGGAUAGCACUCAUGGCUACUUAAGACAGGAUGGCCAGGAAAGGCCUCUCUGAAGAGGUGACGUUUAUGUGGAGGUCUGAAUACUAAUCAGCAGAUAGGCAAGUGAAGAUCUGGAGUAAAGAGCAUUCUAGGGAAAGAUCUUUGUCAGUGAAAAGGCCCCCGGGCUGGAACAAGUUUGGCUUGUUCAAAGAACCCGAUGGCCAGCUGGCUGCAUCACGUCAUGGGGGAGGCUGGGAGCAGGCACUGGAAAGCCAGAUUGAUUUUUACCCAUGAAGCAAAUGAAAUGGUAUUUGUAACACGGCAACCAAAAAGUCAGAAGCUACAGACUUCUGACUUGAAUAAGAAGGGUACCUUCUUUGAAAAUUUCACAUUUAUUUAUUUAUUAAGGAACUGUAAAAAUUUCAGAUUAAAAAUUUGUAGAAUAUCAGCACCAUAAGACAGGGUGAAGGCUGGGCGCAGUGGCUCAUGACAGCAAUCUCAGCACUUUGGGAGGCUGAGGCAGGUGGAUCACCUGCUGUCAGAAGUUUGAGACCAGUCUGGCCAACAUGGUGAAACCCCGUCUCUACUAAAAAUACAAAAUUAGCUGGGCGUGGUGGCAUGUGCCUGUAAUCCCAGCUACUCAGGAGGCUGAGGCAGGAGAAUCACCUGAACUUGGGAGGCGGAGGUUGCAGUGAGCCGAGAUCAUGUCACUGCACUCCAGCCUGGGAGACAGAGUGAGACUCCAUCUUAAAAAAAGAAAACAAGACAGAGUGGAAAAAAUCAGUAGAAUAUAAAACAAAAGUGAUGAAGAUACGUGAUUAAAUCAGUAGUAAAUACUCCGACAUCAAGAAAUGAAUUAAAAACAAAAAUUUCAGAUUCUACAGAAAGUAGCAGUAUUAAGAGGAAGAGACAAAACUUGAGUAGAGGUUAUAAAUCAAUUUCUAGCUUGCUGGAUAAUACCAUCAAUGAAGAUGAGGGGAACAUAGGAACCCAUAAGAUAAAGAUUUUGAGUUCUUGCUGAUUUGACACAAAAUACUGACGUCAGUAAAAGUCAUAUAACACUGAGGAUUCACCGCUAAAACAAAGACUUUAACACAAACUUAUAAUGGUUAUAAGAGGAUUCACCGCUAAAACAAAGACUUUAACACAAACUUAUAAUGGCCAAAUCAAAGAAUACUUAAGAUUAAUCCUAACAGGAAAACAUAAAAUGCCCUAAAAUCUUACAGCUCAUUUUGGAUAGAGGUUUUAACAACAGUCCUAAAGUUUUACAUAAUAAUGAGUCAUGUAGUUAAAAGACACUCUUUUAAAAUAUCAUAAGAAACAAAUUUCAGCCAGGCACAGUGGCUCACACCUGUAAUCCCAGGACUUUGGGAGGCCAAGGCAGGCGGAUCACCUCAGGUUGGGAGUUUGAGACCAGCCUGACCAACAUGGAGAAACUCCAUCUCUACUAAAAAUACAAAAUUAGCCAGGCGUGGUGGUGCAUGCCUGUAAUCCCAGCUGAGGGAAGCUGAGGCAGGAUAAUCACUUGAGCCUGCAGGGCGGAGGUUGCAGUGAGCCAAGAUGGCACCAUUGCACUCCAGCCUGGGCAACAAGAGCAAAACUCUGUCUCAAAAAUGGAAACAAACAAACAAAAAACAAAUUUCAAGCAACCAUGCUGGAGGACAGAUGAAUUAUCUUUCUACUCUUUCCUAAGAAAAUGAAAUUUAGGCUGGGCAUGGUGGCUCCUGCCUGUCCUCCCAUCACUUUGGGAGGCCAAGGUGGGAGGAUUGCUUGAGCUAGAAGUUUGAGACCACCUUGGGUAACCUAGUGAGACCUCAUCUCUACUAAAAGUAAAAUUAAAUAAAUUAGCUGGGUAUGGUGGCACACACCUGUAGUCCCAGCUACUCAAGAGGCUGAGAAAAGAGGAUCACUGAGCCCAAGAGUUUGAGGUUCCAGUGAGCUAUGAAAAACAAAAAAGAUAUUUUAAAUUGUCAUAUGAAGAGAUGAAGACUAUAUAGCCAAAAAAUGUAGCAAAAAGUAUUAUAUUGUGUUAAUAAGUUAAUUCAUAAAAAAUAUAUUUUGGGCUGGGUGCAGUGGCUCACACCUGUAAUCCCAGCACUUUGGUAGGCUGAGGUGGGAGGAUUGCUUGAGCCCAGGAGUUCGAGACCAGCCUGGUCAACAGAGUGAGACCCUGUCUCAUUAAAAAAAAAUUACAUAUAUAUAUAUACACACACACACACAUACACACACACACACACACACACAGUAAUAAAUAUAUAUAAUUAUAGUUAUUUUCCUAAACUUGGUGAUAUUUUUUGCAAGUUUUUGUAAAAUUGAAAUUUAUUGUGGUUUUUUCUUGGAUGCUAAAUAAAUAUCCAUUUUCUUUUCUUUUUUUUUGAGACAGAGUCUUGCUCUGUCGCCCAGGCUGGGAUACAGUGGUGCAAUCAUAGCUCACUGCAGCCUGGGAGAUCUGCACUGUAGAUCUCUCAGGCUCAAGGGAUCCUCCUGCCCUAGCCUCCUUAAUUGCUGAGACUAUAGGGAUAUACCACUAUACUUGACCAAUUUCUUUGCUUUUUAUUUGAGACGGGCUCUCUCUGCAUUGCCCAGACUGGUCUCAAACUCCUAGGCUUAAGCAAUCUUCCCCCUUCAGCCUCCCAAAGUGCCAGGAUUACAGGUGUGAGCCACUGUGUCCAGAUAAAUAUUCAUUUUGGGCCGGGCAUGGUGGCUCACAUCUGUAAUCUCAGCACUUUGGGAGGCCGUGGCAGGCAGAUCAUCUGAGAUCAGGAGUUUGAGAUCAGCCUGCCCAAAAUGGUCAUACCCUGUCUCUACUAAAAAUACAGAAAUUAGCUGGGCAUGGUGGACCUGUAAUCCCAGCUACUUGGGAGGCUGAGGCAGGAGAAUCACUUGAACCCAGGAGGCAGAGGUUUUAGUGAGCUGAGAUUGUGCCAUUGCACUCCAGCCUGGGCAACAGAGUGAGACUCUGUCUUAAAAAAAAAAUUUUUUUUUUUUGGCCGGGCACAGUGGCUCAUGCCUGUAAUCCUAGCACUUUGGGAGGCCGAGGUGGGUGGAUCACGUGAGGUCAGGAGUUCAAGACCAGCCUGGCCAUCAUGGUGAAACCCCAUCUUUGAAAAAAAAAUUUUUUUUAAUAAAUAAAAAUUAAAAUAGUUGUAAUAUUCUUUUAUUUUUUUGUAAAGAGGCUCCUCCCUCCAUAAAUUGUGUAACUUCCAGGCCUCACAAAGCCUAAAUCCUUCCCUAGGUACAAGAUGUAUGGUUUGUUGCUAAAGAAGAGAUUUGGAUUUUAUUCUAUGUAUGAUGGGAAGCUAUUAAAAGGUUCUGAUUAGAUGAGUGACAAGCUGAUUUAUGACAUUUUAAAAAGAUGACUCUGGCUGCCAGGUUACCUACAAUAACACAGCAUUAGUGGGGGAGAUGGAGAGAAGGAGUUGUGUCCAUGUGUGUGGUAACAAGGAGUGAGGGGUUCCCACAGCUAUGCAACAGCCAGAGUCUCUGGAGAAAAAGCCAGGACAGGUAUUCAGAGCAGGAGGAGACAAGCCCCAGAAGUAAGCACUGGGCACAGGUUAGCUAUGAUGGUCAUGAUGACCACUUACCAUCCAGCUAACAUAUACUGAAUGCUUACUUCUGGAAAAUAGCCCUGGGUGGGUUCAGAAAUAUUGAAGAAGAGAUUGAAUUUCCAGUUGAAUGGGGGCUCAAGUUAAGGAAAUUGAUCUGAGAAGGCUGGGAGACUUAGGGACACUGGGACACAUGAUUGGCAGGGAGAGAAUAAAAAGACACAGAGGGAGCAAACACAGGACAUGCAAAGGUAAAGGGACAAGUGAGACAUUAGAUGGGCCGAAACACAGGACACAACAGUAGUAACAGCUAACACUUCCACAGUUCACCUGGUGCCAUUGCUGGGUUUUGCAUGUGUUAGCCAUUUUAUUUUAUCUUAUUUAUUGAGGCAGAGUCUCACUCUGUUGCCCAGGCUGGAGUGCAAUGGCGUGAUUGCAGCUCACCGCAACCUCUGCCUCCUGGUUUCAGGUGAUUCUCCUGCCUCAGUCUCCCCAGUAGCUGGGAUUACAGGCAUGCACCACCAUGCUCAGUGAAUUUUUGUAAUUUUAGUAGAGACAGGGUUUCACCAGGUUGGCCAAGUUGGUCUCAAACUGCUGACCUCAAAUGAUCCACUAACCUCGGCCUCCCAAAGUGAUGGGAUUACCGGCAUGAGCCAUGGUGCCUAGCCUAACCCAUUUAAUUUAGAAAGAGAAGCUGCAGCAGAUCAUGGUCUGCCCUAAGUAAAGAAACAUGGACAUAUUUUAUGGAUAGUGCAAGCCACUGAAGAUUUUUGAGCAGAUAUUAUUAGGAAAUAAAAGAGAGUAAUCAAGAUUGCUUAACUAGGGGAGCCUAAAGACCUCCUGAAAUUUUGAGCAAAUAUUUGUGUGAUGCUUCUUUUCUUUGGGAGAGUCCAUACCACCCAUCCAACCUCAAAGGUGUCUGAGAUUUCAAAAAAGGCUAAGGAAGGCUGGGUAUGGUGGCUGGCACUUGUAAUCCCAGCAUUUUGGAAGGCUGAGGUGGGUGGACUGUUUGAGUUCAGAAGUUCAAGGCCAGCCUGGGCAAAAUGUCGAAACUCCAUUUCUGCAAAACAUACAAAAAUUAGCCAGGUGUGGUAGCAUGUAUCUGUAGUCCCAGCUACUUGGGAAGCUGAGAUGGGAGGAUGGCUUAAGCCCGGGAGGUAGAGGUUGCAGUGAGCUGAGACUGUACCACUGCACACCAGCCUAGGUGAUAGAGGCAGAUCUUGUCGAAAAAAAAUAAAAGGUUAAGGAUCAGGGACUUAGCAGUUUUAACCCUAGAUGACCAAUAGUAUGGUAUUGUCAUGAGUGAAAGUAGGGAUCCCAGGUAAGACAAGGAGGCAGUGUUGGCUGGAAGAGCAGAGAAAUGGUCAUUUCCCUCUGAGAUAUGUUGAUUUCACAGUGUUACAGGUGGAUCUCCAGUGGGCAGUAGAGAUUUGGAACCCAGCUCUCCAAGAUAGGGCGAGGCUGCUGCCACAGGCAGGGGAAUGAUCCUCUAUCACAAGCUCGAGUUUGAAUGACAUUGUCAAGGAAAAUCAGAAAAGAAGGCCAAGGACAGAUCUUUGAACAUUAUUUGAUCUGACUGCCUUGCCUUUUCCUAAGUGCUUUCGCACAGAUUUUUUCUCUACACGAGAAAUUCACAUUUUGAACUUUAGUUCCUAAAAUACAUUAAAUCAUACGUGGCUUCUAAGACGGGGCAGGAGGGGAUGCACAUAAUGACUGCUUAUGUGGCUUCUCAUCUGAGGAAAUUAUCUCUUCAAAAUGAUCGGGUGCUCCUGACCCUAUUCUUAAGAGUGUGGGCAUUUUUGAGCUAAUUUUGGAAGUGCAAGGAUAAUUGUUAGCACUCAGACCUAGUUCUACCCCAGUGUUAAAAAUCUCAGGAACCGGCUGUGAGCAUGGUAGCUCAUGCCUGUAAUACCAGCACUUUGGGAGGCUGAGACAAAAGGAUCAUUUGAGUCUAGGAGUUCAAGGCCAGCCUAGGAAAUAUGGCGAAACCCCAUCUUUACAAAAAAUACAAAAAUUAGCUGGGCAUAGUGGUGCAUGCAUGCCUGUGGUCUCAGCUACUGGGGAGGCUGAGGUAUCAGAAUCACUUGAACCUGGGAUGCAGAGGUUGCAGUGAACUGAAAUUGCACCAGUGUCUUCCAGCCUGGGCAACAGAGCAAGACACUGUCUCAAAAAAAAAAAAAAAAAAAAAAAGAAAAAAGUGGAAGGCAGGGUGCGGUGGCUCACGCCUGUAAUCCCAGCACUUUGGGAGGCCGAGGUAGGUGGAUCAUCUGAUGUCAGGAGUUCGGGACCAGCCUGGCCAACAUGGUGAAAUCCUGUCUCUACUAAAAAAAAAAAAAAAUAGCUGGGCAUGGUGGCAGGUGCCUGUAAUCCUCAGUUACUUGGAAGGCUGAAGCAGGAGAAUUGCUUGAAUCUGGGAGGUGGAGGUUGCAGUGAGCUGAGAUUGCGCCAUUGCACUCCAGCCUGGAUGACAAGAGCGAAAUUCUGUCUCAAAAAAAAAAAAAAUAUAUCAGGAGCCCACAGAAUCCCCGCUUUCCUUGAGGAGGAAAGAAAAGAUAUCUACACAUGGCAAGAAAGUGCUUAAAAUAUUAAGGUAGGCCAGGCAUGGUGGCUCACGCCUGUAAUCCCAGCACUUUGGGAAGCCGAGGCAGGUGGACAACCUGAAGUCAGGAGUUCAAGACCAGCCUGGCCAGCAUGGUGAAACCUCAUUUCUACUAAAAAUAUAAAAAUUAGCCAGGUGUGGUGGUGCGCACCUGUAAUCCCAGCUACUUGGAAGGCUGAGGCAGGAGAAUUGCUUGAACCAGGGAGGCAGAGGUUGCAGUGACACUACACUCCAGCCUGGAUGACAGCAUGAGACUCCCUCUCAAAAAAAAAAAAAAUUAAGGUAGACUGCACAUUGAUAGCUCCUAUCCUGGAUCAAUGGUUAUAACCCAAGAACACUCACCCAAACAAGAGCCAUCAUUUUCCCAAGAGGCUGUUUAAUUUUGUCUGGCUACAUUAUUUCAGUAUGAAAGAAGCAGCAGUUUUAGUCUGUCAUACCCAGAAACUACCUGAUAGCCAAUAUAAUGAAACUCUGUGGAGGCAGUAAAAUGCUGAGUGCCGAACACUUACUUUGCUUUUUAGAGACAGAGUCUUGCUCUGUUGCCCAGGUUGGAGUGCAGUGGUGCAACCAUGGCUCUCUGUAUCCUCAAACUCCUGGGCUCAAGAGAUCCUUUCACCUCAGUCUCCUGAGUUGAGUAGCUGGGACUACAGGCAUGAGCCACUACACGCAGCUUUGAAUGCUUAGUUUGUUACCAGGCCCUGAGUUAAGGCCACAUAUUGGCUGGGCACGGUGGCUCAUGCCUGUAACCCCAGCCCUUUGGGAGGCAGAGGCAGGUGGAUUGAGUACAAGAGUUCAAGACCAGCCUGGGCAACAUGGCAAAAUCCCGUUUCUGCAAAAACAAACAUUAGUCAGGCGUGGUGGAACAUGCCUGUAAUCCCGGCUACUUGGGAGGCUCAGGUGGGAGAAUUACUUGAACCCAGAGGUUGUAGUGAGCUAAGAUGGCACCACUGCACUCCAGCCUGGGUGACAAAGUGAGACCUCAUCUCCAAUAAUUAAAAAAAAAUUUUUUAAAAAGAAAAACAGGCUAUAUAUUAACGACUCAUUGAAUCCUCAUAAAAAUCCCAUCGGAUGAGUUUGUUAAAGGUGUUAUUUUAUGGAUGCAGAAAUGGAGGCUUAGUGAGCAAAGUUUGUCUUCUAACCAUCCCCAGACUGUUCCUGCUUUAUUCUGGGCGAGACUCAUCUGCAGACCUGCCUAUGGCCAUGUCCAGCCCCAUGGGCCUGGGCCAUCCACAUAAGGGGCAGUAGAAAUGGAACCAAGAGUAAACACCCUUAGAUCCACUAGGUUGCACUCUAACCCUGCACCUGUUCUGUGUUGCAGCCUGCUUCCACCCAGCUCUGAAUCUGCCCGGCUGGCUCUAAAUUCCUACUUCCAAGCAUUUCAAGCCCUGUACUUCAAACCCUGCUGGCUUCUAUUAGGGUUUGGCCCCACCACCUGCAGAGGUUGGGGCAGAGCUAAACUAACAAGGACUUGGAUUAGCUGCACCCUGUGAGGCAAGGCCUGUUCUUUUUUUUUUUUUUUUUUGAGAUGGAGUUUCACUCUUUGGCCCAGGCUGAAGUGAAGUGGUGUGAUCUCAGCUCACUGCGACCUCUGCACAACCCUCCUUCCCGCCCACUUUCAGUUGAUUCUCCUGCCUCAGCCUCCUGAGUAGCUAGGAUUAUAGGCGCCGGCCACCACGCCUAGCUAAUUUUUGUAUUUUUAGUAGAGACGGGGUUUCACCAUGUUGGCCAGGCUAGUCUCAAACUCCUGACCUCAGGUGAUCCACCUGCCUCGGCCUCCCAAAGUGCCAGGAUUACAGGCACGAGCCACCAUGCCCAGCUGGAGGCAAGGCCAGUUCUAAGAGGAACAUGCUCAACUUGGAGGAAGUCUCCUCUGGCUGGCAGAACAAAUACUGGCAGGAAAAGGAUACCAAGUUCCUAGUAAGUGCUGGAACUAGAUGGAACUAGAUUGCCAAAGUCGACAGGUAGAGGGCCAGGACUAGAGGUCACAGGGCAAAAGGCACAACGUAGAAUAUCAGAGGCUUUCUGGUAACAAGGUAGCACAGGGGUGAAAAAUUCAAAAAGGGUCAAUAUUUAAGAAUCAGGAUAAAUGUCAUGGGGUAGACUUUCUCCUCUUUUUCCCUUAUUAUGGGUUGAAUUGUGAGUCUUCCUCAAAUUCUUAUGUUGAAGACCUAAGGCCCAGUACCCCAGAAUGUGAUCUCAUUUGCAAACAGGUUUGUUACAGAUGUAAGUAGUUAAGAUGAUGUCAUUCAGAUGGGCUUUAAUCUGGUAUGACUGGUGUACCUAUAAGAAGGGACAUUUGGGCCAGCCAGAUGCAGUAGCUUAUGCCUGUAAUCCCAGCACUUUGGGAGGCUGAGGAGGGCGGAUUACUUGAGCCCAGCCUGGCCAACAUGGUGAAACCCUGACUCUACCAAAAAUACAAAAAUUAGCCAGUCUCAUAACCUAGUCUCAAAAGGAUACUUUUUUUUAAAAGGGAAAUUUAGAAACAGAGAUGCACACACAGGGAGGAUGUCAUGUGAAAAUGAAGGUGAGAUCAGGGUGGUGCUUCUACAUGCUGAGGAAUGCCAAAGAUUGCCAGCGAGCCACCAGAACCGAGGGGAGAGGCAUGGAACGGUUGCCAUCUCACAGCUCUCUGAAGGAACAAACCCCGCUGACACCUUGACUUUGGACUUCCAGCCUCUAAAAUGUGAGACAAUACACUUCCAUUGUUGAAGACACCCAAUUUGUGGUAUUUUCUUACAACAGACCUAGAAAACAAAUGCACCUCUUUUCUCUGAAACAGUAGGCCUGUUCUAGUCUGCCUCUGGCCAAUCUAAUCCUGGUUUCCUGAACCUGGGCUUCAGAGGAGGCAGAUAUGCAGAAAGCUUUUCAAUAAAAAUGGCUCCAGCAGAGCUCAUGGGUAUGCAGAGCCCAUUGGAAAUCGGCAGGCAGAGUGGCAUGGGGACCUUCAACUCCACCUUGCACAGUGAGGAUACUCUGUGUCCUGUGUGCAAGUGGCUUAAGGGAGAGGGUUCCCAAUGGAGAACUGGGUACUAACUCCUUGAGGGAUGAAAAUAUUUAACCUCAAGUCUAGAGCAUGGAUUUUGCUUAACGUGACUCAUAAAAAUCUUUGUUCUCAGCCUCUCUCCCCAUCAUCAUUCAGGCUGUUACCAGCUUGCCUUUAGUUAUCUGACAAAGGCAGCCGGUUUCCAUGGUUACCUACAAGCAAGCAGCAAGGUGCGAUUCCUAGAAGGCCCCCUGAUUAAGCAAAUAGCGAGACAGGGGGCCUCUGGCACAAUGAAAAUAACCUGGAUCCAAUGAUCAGAAUGGGCUACUGGAGGCAACUGGAUUUCAGGAGCAAGUUGGAAGCCAUACCCAGUUAUCAUAGCUGGGCAUGGAGCAAGAGGCAGAACAGCAAACCCAGUUACUACUACUGCCUGCUGGACACUGAGCCCGCCCUACGAAGCAGGUGCUACAGCAAGUACUUCAUGUGCCUUAUGUCCUUUGGCCCUUACCUACUUACCAAAGCUUUCAGUUUUAUAGAUGAAGGAACUCAUGGGACAUGUUCAAGAUCACACGGCUGGUAGGUAACAAGGAUUUGAAACCCAGGUGCUUAAAAGCUUCCAUUUAUCCCUCCAGCUGAGCUUGCUGUCCUUCUCCACCCCAAAGGCUGACAUCAUGGGCUGCACCAACAGCCUCCCUUUCUAUGCUGGCACCAGUUGGGGCUGUUAGUGGAGAGUCUCACAGACAGGAGGGAAGGAAGGAGAGGGUGCUUUUGGCUUAUGGUGACACAAAGUGGCUUUCUCUACAGAAUUCUCUCCUUCUAUUUCCUUCUCUGUGUCUGAAUCUAGGGCCACUACUGCUCUAUCCCUUGCGGUUGUCCAGUACCCUCUCUUUUGUAGAAAGCCUCUUUAUAAUAAGUCAUCCUUGACUUACGCUCAUUUUUUUUUUUUUUUUUUGAGACGGAGUCUCACUCUGUCGCCAGGCUGAAUGGAGUGCAGUGGCGCUAUCUCAGCUCACUGCAACCUCUACCUCCUGGGUCCAAGCAAUUCUCCUGCCUCAGCCGCCCGAGUAGCUGGGACUACAGGCACACACCACCAUGCCCAGCUAAUUUUUGUAUUUUUAUUAGAGACAGGGUUUCACCAUGUUGGCCAGGCUGGUCUUGGUCUCCUGACCUUGUGAUCCACCUGCCUUGACCUCCCAAAGUGCUGGGAUUACAGGCAUGAGCCACCAUGCCCUGCCGACUUAUGGUCUUUCUAGUAAGACUCUGACUGCUAUACCAGGUCUGUCUACUGCUGAAGGAGUUAGCCUGAACUCCUGUCCCAUUCUUCUCCCUGUAUCCAGCCAGCAUGGUGGUGGUUUAAGUCCCAGACCAUUGGAUCCGCACUCCUUAAAUGCCUGCAAUCUAAGGCCAGCAUUGGUCUCUGAGACUUGGAGCUGCAGGAAAGUGCUGCUACAGCUGAGGUGGGUAGUCUGUGGUUACAGGUGUGGGGAGAGGGCGCGGCAGAGUGUAGAGAGCUAAGCAGGGUCUGACACUCACCUACAGGAACCUUCCAUUCCCACGUGGUCCUUCUGUUCUGGCAGCUCCCUGCGCUGUGCUGAGCUGCUGCAUUGGAGUUCAGUUAACUGUUGAGCUGGAGCAGACAGUCCCGGCGAGCCUGCCUUCACUUCACACACCAGCCACAGUUUGUGGGUUUCCAGGACCACCUUCACUUCAGACUAUCUGGCUACAAACUCAGGGGGUUUCAAAACCACCCUCAGAAUGAUUCACAGAACUCAGGAAGUGCUAUACUUAUAGUUACAGUUUUAUUAUAGCAAGAAAUAUAAACUAAAAUCAGCCAAGGGAAGAGAUGCAAGAGCAGAUGUCAAACGAUAUCCAGUUGAGGAGCUUCUGCUCAUCAUCUCCCAAUGGAAUCAUGGAGUCUUGACCAUGGUGUGUGAUCAUACACAGUACAAAUGCCCUUUGACUUACAAUGGAAUUACCUCUUGAUGAACCCAUUGAAAAUAUUGUAAAUCGGCUGGGUGCGGUGGCUCACGCCUGUAACCCCAGUACUUUGGGAGGUCGAGGCGGGCGGAUCAGGAGAUCGGAAGUUCAAGACCAGCCUGGCCAACAUGGUGAAACCUGUCUCUACUAAAAAUACAAAAAUUAGCUGGGCAUCUGUAAUUCCAGCUACUUGGGAGGCUGAGGCAGGAGAAUCGCUUGAACCCAGGAGGUGGAGGUUGCAGUGAAGCAAGAUUGUACCACUGUACUCCAGCCUGGGUGACGAAGCAAGACUCCAUCUCAACAACAAAAAAGAAAAUAUUGUAAAUUGAAAAUGCAUUUAAUACAUCUAACCUACCAAACAUCACAGCUUAGCCUAGCCUACCGUAAAUGUGUUCAGAACACUUAUGUUAGCCUAUAUUUGGGCAAAAUCAUCUAAAAUAGUAAGGCCUAUUUUGUAAUAAGGUGGCGAAUAUCUCAUGCGAUUUAUUGAAUAUUGUAUAUUACAUAGAAAUUGUGACAGUUUUGAACCAUCAUAAAGUCAAAAAUCUAAGUCAAACCAUCCUAAGUCACGAGACCUUCUGUAUUGCCAACAUAGAAAGGUCACCUAAGCCUUUGGUGUUCAGACUUUAUGGGAGUUAAUUACAAUGAAUUUUGGUAUCUAGCCCUUUCCAGAAGUCAGAACUGAUAUGACAUGACCCAAAGUCUUCAUUGUAAGUCACACUGUUAGACUACCCAAUGGCCAAAGCCUGCAGGCAAACAAAAACAGUCCUAUCAGGCAGGACAUUCCAGGGGUCUAGAGAUCACCUCUUGGUAGCCAAGGACAAAGGCCAGACCUCUUUGGGGCAGGUUGAUUCUUCAUUACACAAACUACUUUGCUCCUUAGGCAUCUAUCAGACCUUUCUGCUUGGUUGUAUUCCUGGUGUUUGUCUUGCUUGGCCAGCCCAGUGCUGUUCUCAUCUGUGCCCAUCGUAGUGUGGGAUGGUGCUCAGGGAGAUACUUGAUUUAGUAUAUGGUGAGCUUAGCAGAUCUUACUCAUUGCAAGAUUCACCACUGCAACCAUUAUCCCUGCUAUUGUGGUGGUAAAUUUCAUGUCUUUGUUCCAUUGUUGGGAAGGGACAUCUGCUUUACAAAAGAGUUCUCUUUGUGGUGCUAGGGGAAGAGUUUACAGUCUCCUUCCAAAUGCCCUUGCACAAAUUAACUUGUGCUUUGAGGCCAUUAUUAGUAAAAUAAAGAUUACUUGAACACAAGCACUGUGGUAUCAUGACAGUUGAUCUGAUAACCAAUAACCAACAGGGCUACUAAGUGACUAACAGGGUGGGGAGCAUAUCAGCCUGGAUAUGCUGGACCAACUGAUGAUUCAUGUCCCAGGUGGGGUAGGGCAGGACAGCACAAACUUUCAUCAUGCUACUCAGAGUGACAGAAUUUAAAACUUCUGAUGCAUUAUUUCUGGAAUUUUCCAUUUAAUAUUUUCAGACCCCUGUUGACCAUGAGGAACUAAAAUUUGGGAAAACAAAACCAUGAAUAAGUGGGGGGACUGUUGUCCCUGUCUGCUUCCUGCUCUAGACUUGGGCCUCUUAAAGGCAGCAGAUGUGUCUUAUUCAUCUUCAAUACCUCCAGUGCCUACCAUGAGCUAGUCCCUCACAGGCAUUCUGUAAACCAACCUCUCUAGUUCACCUACUCAGGAAUACACUGCAUUGAAUUUCUCCAGAUGAGAGUUAGCAAAGGUGCCUCUGAAUGCACGCCAGCCUGGUCUUCAAUAACACAUUUUUAUUUGGAAGAGUUACUCUGUUUACAGAUGCUAUCUCUUCUAAUCCUCCAACCUGUGAGAUAGAUAGCCUUACCAUCCCCAUGAACAGAUGAUGAGAGAAAUUGAGACAAUUAUAGACAGCAAAUUUUCCAAGGUCAUCUAAUCCCUACGUGGCCCAGUGGGGACAGAACCAGGUCUGUUGGAUUCCAGAGUUCCAAGUCCUUAAUCACUGUUCUCUAAUGGCCUGGGGUAGUCCAGUGAGAUCAAUGCAAUUGAUAGGCCAUUUCCAGUAGAGGAUUUAGUUUGAAAUCAUGCUUACGGUAGAGAAUGAGAUUAUAAAAUGAAGUGACUUUGAAUAAUAAAUGAAAGCUAGUGAUUGUGAUUGAGAAUGCACUAGAAGUAGAAAAAAAAAGAUCCUGGUUUUUAAGGCAGUAGGAAGCCAAUGUUAAGUCCAUCAGGUGAAAUUAGAUUAUCAUUAAAUCCACAUGUAAAAUACAAGCUGAAACAUUUGUGUGCUGUUUUUUCUGAUCUUAGAGUAAUCUUUACUUUGCAGCGCUCUUUUUUCUACAUUUUUCACAUUGCACAGAUAUUGUAGCCCUGUAUUUUAGGGUUAUUUCUUCUUCUUUCUUCUUUCUUCUUCUUCUUCUUCUUCUUCUUCUUCUUUUUGAGACAGGGUCUCAUUCUGUUGCCCAGGCCAGAGUGCAGUGGCUUGAUCACUGUUCACCACAGACUCAAUCUCUUGGGUUCAAUUGAUCCUCCUGCCUCAGCCUCCCAAGUAGCUGGGACUACAGGUAUGCACCACACCCAGCUAUUCUUUGUUUAGGAAUGAUGAGGUUUCACCAUGCUGCCCAGGCUGGCCUCAAACUCCUUUGCUUAAGUGAUCCGCUCACGCCACUGAGCCCAGCCUUUAAAUUAAUUUCUUUUUUCCUUUCUUUUUUUUGAGACGGAGUCUUCCUCUGUUGCCCAGGCUGGAGUGCAAUGGUGCAAUCUCAGCUCACUGCCAUCUUCACCUCCUAGGUUCAAGAGAUUCUCCUGCCUCAGCCUCCUGAGUAAUUUCCAUUUUUAUACAUGUACAGUCAUGUGUUGUAUAAUGAGCUUUGGGGCAGUGAGGAACCAUAUAUAUGACAGUGGCCUCAUAAGAUGAUAAUAUUGUAUUUUUACUGCAUUUUCCAUGUUUAGAUAUGUUUAGAUACACAAAUACUUACCAUUAUGUUAUGACUGCCUACAGUAUUCAGUACAGUAACCUAGGGGCAAUAGGCUAUACCAUAUACCUAUACCAGGAGCUUAUGUGUGUAGUGCGCUAUAGCAUCUAGGUUUGUGUAAGUAAACUUUAUGAUGUUCACACAAUAUUGAAAUCACCCAGUGACACAUUUGUCAGUACACCUCCCCAUCAUUAAGCAGUGCAUGACUGUACAUAAUAGUAUGAAAUAGUAGCACUGCCUUAAGAUUUCUAAUAAAAAAAAAAAUCAGCUCCCUGACUGAUCCCUAUAUACUUCUACUCUGUCAAGACAGUCACCUCAACUCUCAGCUGCUCCUUCUAACACAUGUAACCACUUUCUAAAUAAUAUGCUUUUAUUCAACUUUUUAGCUGAUUGAUUUUAGGUAUAAUCUAUUGAUUUCCCACCAUAAUAGGUGAGGGUUUCCCUUUUCCAUAUCACCUUUUUCACUUCCCUUUCUCCCACCUUCCCUAUGUAAGCAUGUUGACAUCUUAUAUCUCUUUUCCACCUGAGCAUAUUGACAUUUUAUGUUAUAUCCAAAGUCACUGUUUAUAUUAUUAUGGCCAAGCAAAUAUUGUUGACAACCCAAUCAAAUAGUAUUAAAUAGUAUUCCAUUUUCAACCACACAUCCUUUUUUGUAUUUUAAUUUUUAUUUCCUAUAUUUAAUUUUUGCUAUAUUAAAAAUUGUUGGCCGGGUGUGGUGGCUCACGCCUGUAAUCCCAGCACUUUGGGAGGUUGAGGCCAGUAUAUCACAAGGUCAGGAGUUCGAGACCAGCCUGGCCAACAUGGUGAAACCCUGUCUCUACUAAAAUUACAAAAGUUAGCUAGGUGUGGUGGCCGGCACCUAUAAUCCUAGCUACUCGGGAGGCUGAGGCAGGAGAAUCACUUGAACCCAGGGGGGCGUGGGUUGCAGUGAGCCAAGACUGUGCAACUGCACUCUAGCCUGGGUGACAGAGUGAAACUCCGUCUCAAAAAAAAAAAAAAAAAGUCAUGUUUUUUCAUUUGACUAUUUGCCCACAAACCCAUCCAAUUUUUUCCUGAGCAUUUCAAUACCUCUGUCAGUUACAUAUCAAAAUGUCUCACAAAUAUUUACACAUGUAGUUUCCUUGAACUCUUCCAGAACCUUCCUUUGUUCUGUCUGGGCAGAGUGCUCUCAAGGGCUGCAUACAACUGACAGUCUGGGAAUUCCUA
Callithrix jacchus (white-tufted-ear marmoset) is the source of this 30742-nucleotide non-coding RNA. The record is from RefSeq and is a predicted model, not a curated record. Lineage: Eukaryota; Metazoa; Chordata; Mammalia; Primates; Cebidae.